GACGAACGCUGGCGGCGUGCUUAACACAUGCAAGUCGAGCGGUAAGGCCCUUUCGGGGGUACACGAGCGGCGAACGGGUGAGUAACACGUGGGUGACCUGCCCUCAGCUCUGGGAUAAGCCUGGGAAACCGGGUCUAAUACCGGAUAUGACUCCAUGACGCAUGUUGUGGGGUGGAAAGCCUUGUGCGGCUGAGGAUGGGCCCGCGGCCUAUCAGCUUGUUGGUGGGGUGAUGGCCUACCAAGGCGACGACGGGUAGCCGGCCUGAGAGGGCGACCGGCCACACUGGGACUGAGACACGGCCCAGACUCCUACGGGAGGCAGCAGUGGGGAAUCUUGCGCAAUGGGCGAAAGCCUGACGCAGCGACGCCGCGUGGGGAUGAAGGUCUUUCGGAUUGUAAAUCCCUUUCGGGAGGGAAGAUGGAAUGGGGUAACCCAUUCGGACGGUACCUCCAGAAGCAGCCACGGCUAACUUCGUGCCAGCCGCCGCAGUAAU
This 494-nucleotide ribosomal RNA is filed under the name uncultured bacterium. Its description in RNAcentral is "bacterial SSU rRNA". It matches the Rfam family "Bacterial small subunit ribosomal RNA", at positions 28 to 524 of the family's 1533-position model. The record is from RNAcentral.